CCUACGGGUGGCAGCAGUGAGGAAUAUUGGUCAAUGGACGGAAGGCUGAACCAGCCAAGCCGCGUGAAGGACGAAGGUGCUAAGCAUUGUAAACUUCUUUUGUCAAGGGACAAAAUCAGGCACGAGAGCCUGACCGAGGGUACUUGAAGAAAAAGCAUCGGCUAACUCCGUGUCAGCAGCCGCGGUAAUACGGAGGAUGCGAGCGUUCUCCGGAUUUAGUGGGUUUAAAGGGUGCGUAGGCUGGGAGGUAAGUCAGCGGUGAAAUGCCCCCGCUCAACGGGGUGAAGUGCCUUUGAUACUGCCUUGCUGGACUGCGGCUGCCGUGGUCGGAAUGUGUUGUGUAGCGGUGAAAUGCAUAGAUAUCACCCAGAACACCGAUUGCGAAGGCAUCUCACGAAUCCGCGAUUGACGCUGCUGCACGAAAGCGUGGGUAUCAAACAGGAUUAGAUACCCUUGUAGUC
This 461-nucleotide ribosomal RNA is filed under the name uncultured bacterium. Its description in RNAcentral is "partial 16S ribosomal RNA". It matches the Rfam family "Bacterial small subunit ribosomal RNA", at positions 338 to 795 of the family's 1533-position model. The record is from RNAcentral.